CUGAGUGUCUGAAGUCUUUCGUAGGUUCAUGAUGUAGAGACUUCGUCCAAUGCUUUGCCUGAACAAUGCUCUCCUUCAUCAAAAUGGCAGCAGGCUCCUGCAUUUCCCACUUCCUUUUGAAGCGCUUUUCACAUAAACCGCUUGGUCCAGGCUUCAGCUCCCCUACAUCUUGCUGCUUCGCUUCCAUAAUGGGGGGCUGUUUCUUCUUGUUCUGGCAGUUCACAGAAGCAUCUUCCUCUUCAUCAUCAGAGUGCUGUGCAUCUUCCGGAUCUGUGUAAGACCUGUUGAACAUGGCGUAAUUUUCAUAUUCACAGGGCUUGAAGUAGUGCACUUUCCUUGGAUUCAAAGGAAAGCUGAUGUUCCGCUUGGGUUUUGGUGGAGCAUCGACACGUUUUAGAAUGGGUCGGAUGAUCCUGGUCUCCGAGCUGGACCUGGGACUGGCCUGUGAACCUUCCACUUCCUCUGGAGGACACCCUGAUCGCCUGCGAGUCCGGGGGAUUGGUGUCGGGACAAAGCUGCUGUCCCAAUCUGAGAACACCUGCUGCCUCGCAGAGACUUUUGCCCCAAAAUGGCGGUUGUCAUGUUCCGGUGAUAACCUGGCCGGAUUAGGGCAAGCAUGACUACCUGGGCUAUAACCAUUGGGCCUGGCAGGCUUGAUAAAAGGUUUGGGCUUGUGUGUCACUCUUGCAGAUUUGUUCAGCGUUUGUGAUUCAGGUGAAGCACUGGGAGAUGUCUCUCCUCUGUUCUCUCUCUCACACCAAUCCUUUGAAACCUCUGGAGUCCUCGGAAGCUUCGGAAUCCUUGGCAGCUUUGGCUUGGGGGGCAGCAAGUCGUACUCAAACUCACUUUUUGACAACCUUUCUUUCUCAUUCUUUUUCAACACCUUCGGAAUCUGUGUCAAUUUCUGUUGGGAUGUCAAGUCACUCUCUGCCGUAGGUUUUAGUUUCUUGGACGAGUCAGGAAUCUUAGAGACCAUUAUCCCUAAACCCCCAGACUCUCCUCUAUCCGCCACCAUCUUCUGCCUUGGUGGGGAACCUUUCUCUCUCUUCCGGCUUGGUGGAGAAUCUUCCUCACUCUUCCGGCUUGGGGGAGAACCUUUCCUGACAAGAUGUUUGGGUAAGGACAGCUUUUUCAAUCUGACUUUUUGGCAUUGAAUGUUUUGCUUGUGUUUGAUGUCGUUCCUCUGCCGCUCUUUGACAACAGGAGACAUUGACUUUGCAGGGGAGCAGUGUCUGUUAGUUUUGUUCUGGGCUUUUGUCUUUGGCAUUCUGGGGACUUCAAUAUGUUUUGAGGGUGAGGCGUUUAUGGAAGGCUUUUUGGGGAUGUUUAUGGAGAUUUUGAGAGGAAUGGUGGUGGUUGAGGAUCCCUGCACAUGGAGGGUUUUCGCCCCAGGGCACGGGAGUGAGUUUCCACUGGCCCUCUCUAUGUCCACCAACUGGCACUGUAACUCUUUGGAGUCUGAGUUCCUGCCGUCAGUUUCAGUUGAAUUUCUCCUCUUCUGUGACAUCUUGUCCCUACUUUGAUUGUCCUCUCUCUCUUUCUCAGUUGAAUGUCUCCUCUUCGGUGGCUUCUUGUCCCUGGAUUGACAGCCCUCACACUCUUUCACAGUUGAUGAUCCCUUCUUCUUGUCUUUACAUCGAUUUUCAUCACUCUCAGUUGAAUGUAUCUUCUUGUGUGAUGCAUGUGGCUUCAUGUCCCUGCAUUGAUUAUCCACAGUUGCCUUCAACCCAGAGCUCUUAGCGGUUUGGGAUGGUGUCCUUCCCCUCUCUGCUCUCCCAUAGCUUUUCUUGUGCUUUUGCCUGUCAGAUGACAUUGGAUGGAGGGUCUUCUCCUUUUGCAUUUUUUUAUGUACUUUUUUCUUUGACUUGCAGGUUUUGUAUUGAGUGACAAAGUCAGCAACUUUGUCACACUUUUCUACAGGCGAACCACAGACCUCUAUAGGUGAAAACCAGUUGUCUGCUAUGAUGUUAGCUCUUAACUUAGAGGGGUUUUCAACCUUGGGAAGUGGUAAUGUACUCGUCCUGCAGUCUUGGUCCUUCUCUUGCCAUAUUUCCCUAUCCUCAGAACCAGGACUGACUUUGCUUUGGGUCGUACGUUCUUGGGCUGACGCACAUGGUGCUUUGGCAUCAGUUUCAGGUUCUGUCCUUUUAACAUUAGAAGCAUGAGCUUCAAUCUGAGCAUGUUGUUCAUUAUAGCUCUCCUCUGUCUCCUGAUCGGUAUCUGACCAGAAAAAAAAGUCAAUGAUCGGUAUGACGCCUGUCCAUUGCUGCAUUUCACCCUGUGUCUUAUUGUCAUCACCCUCUUCUUCAGUUGAAUGUAUCUGCUUCUUGUCCCUGCAUUGACUGUCAACAGUCACCUUCCCCCCAGAGUCCUUAGGGACCUCUGUCUCCUGAUCAUUUGUACGUGACAUGGUAAAGCAGUGAGCGAUUGUUAUGCAUCUUGUACCUUGCUGCAAUCCUUUCUCUCUCUGACAACUGGAGCAUAGGCCCAUUUCAAACCCAUUGUCAGUUUCAAUACCACAAGGACAGUAGCAGGACUUAUCUAAGCUGCCACUUUCUAUAUUCUCUAGUUGCUUUGUCUGUGUUUUAUCUUUGUUUUUAGAGCAGGAUUUAGGGGACGCGAAUUGGAGGUCAGAGCCAUUCUCGAUCUGGCAAAACAGUCUCAUGGCAUCCUCAGAUGUCAGGAUGGUCAAAUUCAUUGGGGAAAGGGGUUCUGUGUCCGAGUCUGUUGUGAGGUCUACGACCGUUUUGAGGUCUGUGUCUGGUGCCUCUGUUUCAGCAAGCAGUUUCACAGCGUCCUCUGGUGUGAGGACGGUCAAAAUCAUUGGGGAAAGGGGUUCUGUCUCCAAGUCUGCGUUUGUUGGGAGGUCUGUGUUUGUUGGGGGGUCUACAUCCAUCGUGAGGUCUGUGUUUGUUGUGGGGUCUGCGUCCAUCGUGAGGUCUGUGUUUGUUGUGAGGUCUGAGUCUGUUGUUUCUGCAGGAAAUUCCACAGUCUCCAUCUUGCUGUGGAAGGUCUCAUCCAUCUGGACACCCCCAACCACUUUGGAACUGUCCUCUGCUUUAUCUGGUAUGAACCACAGAGACCAAGCUCUUCCAGAAUCUUUGUCAAUGUCAUUCAGCUUCUCGUUGACAUUUAACCAUGACGACCUGUAACCCACUUGGGAAGAGGUGUCAACAUGUACUGGAAUGGGAAACUUCUCGAGCACUUCCCCUAGUGAUAUACCACUGACUGCAAAGAGAACCACUGCCUUCUCAUCCUCUGUGGCCCAGGCAGACACAUCCUGCAUGAUUUUCUCAUCCAUUUGAUCUUUUAAAGCCUCUACCAGGUCAGAAGUAUCCCCUCCCCGAUACAACUCCAAUAUGGCCUCGAGACAACCAUCCUCUGCCUCUGUGAGUGUUGUCGCACUCUCCAGAUAAGUAACCAGUCUCUGCAGCGCACAUAACUUGAACUGAACUUCAGAAAUUGUGGACAAAUCAAGAGUGCUCUCAUCUGCAACAUUAGAGCUACCUUCCACGAUUAUCUGGGCACCACCGAUGCAUACAAUAUCAGUUGCCUGAGGGUUGGUGUGGACAAAUGGUGAAGGUGAUCUCUUGUCCAUUUGUGUGAUGACCUGAAGGACCUCAUCAUUGUCCUCUCCUGUAGAUGCCAUUGAACUUGUGGCAGAUGCAUCUACAGGUUUAUCACACUCCAGAAGACACUCAACUUGAACCAUCUCAUUUAGGACAGAGAGAGAACUUGCAUCAUCUUUAGCUCUUUCCCACAGGUUUUCUGCCUGUUUUUCGUUGAUGGACCAGGUCUGUAAAAUCUUAAAUGGCAGCUCAUUGCCUGCAUUCUCUGUCUCCAUGGGCUCUGGGGACUGCUGUGGACCCAUUGGCGGGACGAUAGCCACGGGGGGCGGCGGAGCGGUGGCGACUGCCGUCAGGGUCAUGUACCUGGGGGUGGACUUAAUCUCCAGCCGUAUAGUGGAGUCCUCAUCACUAAACCUCUCAGGGGGCCUCGCCUGGUAGUCUUUGGUGUUUAGAUGUAGUUGUGUUUUGUCUACUUGUAAAACAUCCAUCUUCUCUGUGCUAGAUUGUUGGGACUGAGAGGGGUCUUGUGUUGAGUUAUUCCCAUUUACAGGUCCAUUUUUAGAUCUUAAAACACUCUGGGGCCAGUGCUGUAUUUCCUUGAGUGAGAUCUUAUGUUUAUGAGGUUUUUCCCGAUGGGUGUCAGUGAGAGAAGGAGAGGAAGCAGGUUGCUGUUCAGGGGUGGUAGAGGUCUGUGUGUGAGAAACCAGAGCAGCAUUGCCAGGAAGAUGAUCUGUAUGUUGUGUUAUGGCUUGGAAAGGAACACUAGGUCCUAGUAUACCAUGGGUGUCUGCAUUUGUUACCUGGGCUGCUUUUAGGUCAACAACACCAGAUUCUGUACCUCCCGUGGAAGGGAAAUCCGUAAAAACACACUGCUGUGCAGUCGUAGUAAAGGUCUGCACAAGUGAUGUAGAAUAUCUCGCAGGACCUGUUGUAUAACCUGAUGUUGUUUCACUGUGUUUGUUGUUGACCAUAGGAACAGUUGGAGUGAUGUUGGCGUUCUGAAUGUCUGUAGAACUGUUGGUCAUAGUUUGACAUGCUUAGCCUGGAAGUCCAGCCUGGGAGACCUGCUGGAAUGGACGCUAGAACGUCCACUAGAGCCACCCCUAGAACGUCCACUAGAGCCACCCCUAGAACGUCCACUAGGGCCACCCCUAGAACGUCCACUAGAGCCACCCCUAGAACGUCCACUAGAGCCACCCCUAGAACGUCCACUAGAGCCACCCCUAGAACGUCCACUAGAGCCACCCCUAGAACGUCCACUAGAGCCACCCCUAGAACGUCCACUAGAGCCACCCCUAGAACAUGCACUAGAGCCACCCCUAGAACGUGCACUAGACCCACUCCUAGAACGUCCACUAGACCCACCCCUAGAACUUCCCUUUGAGCAUUCAGUAUAAUGAACCCUGGAAUAGGAAUUAGAAUGUCCCCUUGAAUGUUCAUUAAAAUGUCCUCUAGCAUGUCCAUUGGAAUGGGUGGGAUCUAACAUCUGCCAUUUGCUUUCCAAGUAAUGGAGAUUGUUAUAAUUCACUAUUCGACCAACCAUAUAAUCCCGGUCAGCUUUAUGGUGAUGGGUUAUAUCCUCAUGCCCUCUUUCGACAAUGAGUGGGGGCAAAAACUCAUAGCUGGGGAAGUGGGGUUCAUGCUUAGCCCAUGUUUCUGUUAUCUCUCCACUGCGGUGUAAGGUUACAUUAGGGGAUGCCUGGCCUCUCAGGGGUCCAUAGAGAUUUGGCCAAUCCUUUAUGUUCUGACUCGGAGCCAUUCUGUGAUGGUCCUGAUGAUACAGAUGCGGCGGCUGGGUCUCUUGUGCCCCAUGUCCACGGAAGUCCAUUGGAGAGUUUUGUCUAAGGGAGUUGUAGUGGGCCCGUAUGGCAGCUUCUUUCUCAUGGUUCAGCCACUGGCGUUCCCUUUCCUGUUGGAUGAGGUACUGUCUUUCACCAGCAGGGGGAGGACUUUCCCACUGAGCCAUAUUAUGGCAGCUGUAUCCAUCACCAUUAUUCCAUUCUCUUGCUCUGGCAUUUUCACAGGCGUUAUCCAUGUUGUGUCAGUUCUAUCCGUCCCAGCACAUUGAACUGGGUAGGAUUUCAAGUAUAAAAAAUAGAAACUAUUGUGAAAACUAAGCAAUGGUUAUCCAUCAACCAAGUUAUUGAUUUUUCUAACAAACUGCAACAUGUUUUUGAUAUGUGACUGCCAGUUGACAUUAUGGGCUGAAAGUUAGUUAGAGUGCAGAUCACAAUCAAGUAACACAAUCAAUAUAGUACACGCUCAUAUAGGAGGAGCCUGUGCCCCACAAAUAGCAGUCUGGGCAGGAGUAGAGUUCCACCUCAGGUCAGGUUGACCCCCCAGAGGAAUCAGAGAGGGUGUUGAUCCAUCCACAUCUGUUUGGUAUAUAAUAUCGGCAUUGUUGAUAUCCAAGGCCAUUUCCCGGGAUUAAACUAAGGUAAUUUGUCUCACGCUAAUCAGUAUUAUAACGAUUAACCACACAACGGUCUCCAGCCUUGAAGUGAUGCAGAGAUGCAACCUUGAAGUGAAUGAAUCACACUGGUUAAACGGUUAACAUAACAAUGGAGCCUAUUCAUUCUAUCUAAACAACUUCCCUAGAGCAGCGUAUCUUAAAGUAUGGGUCGGGUCGCGAUGUGUCAGAGGAAAUGUAUAAUUAUUUUAUCAAUUACUGGAAUUGAUUUGGCCAAGUGCAUCUGCGCUCUCGGGUUCAGUGCGCUCUCUGCUUAGCAGCGGUGCCUCUGCUGUCUGACAGCUUUGCGAGUGGGAGGGAGAUGUCUGUGCGCUUCGUGGUUUAACGGAUCUUUUUUCAGCAGCUUUAUUUUAGAUCACUCCCCGCUCAUGCAGCGUCUGGGCGGCAGGUGAUAAACUAUCAGACCCUGACUUGUCAGUCCCACUCCUCAGCAACUCACCGCCGUUAUCGAAUGGACUCGAGCUACCCACAGGUGCUGACUGAGCUCAAUCGUCACGAAACGCAAAUAGCGAUGACUUUCUCUCUUGUUUUCCAUACAAACUUUGAGAAAUAACGAAGUGCGCCCAUAAUGUGUUUUGUGGGGUGAAGAGCUUAGUAAGGAUUGCGCUAAAAAUGUGUUACAAAGUGACGAACAAACAUAUUGAAACGGUCAUCCAUGCAUUUGCUUGGAUAUCUCUUGGGGAAUGAAUACCCAUACGUAAAUCUGCUGCUUUUUUUGCAUAAAUAUAACACUGUUCAACAUAGAUAGCAUUGCUGUUCAUGUCAACCAUUGGAUGUUCCUAGUAUACUUACAGAAAGUGUGCCCCGCUCCUCUCUCUUUCACAUACGGCAGAUCAGCUGAACACAUGGAUAUCCCCAACCGAUAUCUAUCAAUCAACAACUCGCACUCUUCUUCUUCUGGGAUGGGGUUUAUCAGCAUCCAACGUUAUAGUGCAUUAUUGGCAAAAACACUCCAGUCUUCUGUUAGAACUUCUUCAAAUGUAUAUGUGGGAGCGCCCGUGGCUGGUACCAGUAGAUUCAAGUUCCACGCCCCCAGAGUUUUCUUCGCUCCUUC
Oncorhynchus tshawytscha (Chinook salmon) is the source of this 7093-nucleotide long non-coding RNA. Lineage: Eukaryota; Metazoa; Chordata; Actinopteri; Salmoniformes; Salmonidae. The record is from Ensembl.